Molecule: non-coding RNA, 260 nt
Filed under: Nicotiana sylvestris (wood tobacco)
Lineage: Eukaryota; Viridiplantae; Streptophyta; Magnoliopsida; Solanales; Solanaceae
Description: Eukaryotic large subunit ribosomal RNA
Rfam family: Eukaryotic large subunit ribosomal RNA
Source: Rfam by way of RNAcentral
AACAAUGCAGGCAAGGGAGGUUGGCAAAAUGGAUCCGUAACUUCAGGAAAAGGAUUGGCUCUGAAGGCUGGGCACGGGGGUCCCAGUUCCGAACACGUCGGUUGUCGGUGGACUGCUCGAGCUGCUCUCGCGGCGAGAGCAGGUCGCCGUGUGCCGGCCGGGGGACGGAUUGGGAACGGUUCCUUCGGGGGCCUUCUCCGGGCGUCGAACAACCAACUCAGAACUGGCUGUUACUUACUAAGUUGUGUCAGUUUUACUAU